Molecule: non-coding RNA, 11172 nt
Organism: Equus caballus (horse)
Lineage: Eukaryota; Metazoa; Chordata; Mammalia; Perissodactyla; Equidae
Source: RefSeq, a predicted model, not a curated record
UCUCAGCCAUGUCCUUGUUGAAGCAGGAGAGAGGUGCCCUCUAAAUGUUUGCAAGCGUCGCCAAACUGCUGCGUGGGUCUGCGCUCUGACCGGGAAAGUGGACGGGUCCUAUUUUUUCUCACUUUUUUUUUUUCUCACUUUUUGAUCUGUGAUGGGUGUGAUAGAUUGUUUCAGUCUCAUCCAUGUCUCCCCCUCGAGCAGGCCUUCCUUCCGCAGAGGCUGGAACAGGAACUGCAUUGCUCACGUCCCUCGCCGCUGGUUUCCGGAUGCCGGGUGGGUCUGACAGUUUGCCUCUCAUCAGAGUCGGAGCGAGAAGGGUGAGGCCCCUCCUUGCGGCUCGGCCACUUCCCGCAGCGCGCACGGCAGCAGGCGUGCGGGUUCGCGCAGUCCCACUCUGCUCCAGUCGCUGGUCCUUUUGUGGUGAUGGCAGCAGCAGCCUCCUGGGUGAGCCCGGCACCUGGGGGCCAGUUUCUAGGCCGUGCUCUGGUGGACGUUCCUAGAGGCCCAGCCUGGAGCCCUCUUCUCCAGGGUCCAGCAUGUCGUGAGCUCCUCCUCCUCCUUCUUAAAUUGCUGAUGCGAGUGUUUCCUGCAGCUAAACCCCGGAUCUAAGCUCGGGGACAGCAGGGCCUGUCUCUGCUCACCACGACACGAUCAGCCCAGAGAGUGGUGCCCGGAAGACCGUAGGGCUGGCUUCUGUGAGAACCCCUCAGCGUUGCUCCCGUGCCUCGUCCGGCGGCUCCCAGCUGCUGGCUCCAGGGCCGAGCCUCCGUGGCCUCCAAGGAAUCCACAUCAGUGGAGCUUUGCUGACAGCUAAUGAAGAGGAUUGAGAAGCCACUGUGGCAGCAUCAUGCUGAGUCCUGCUUGGUGAGUAAUCACUGUCCUACGUUAUGAAAAAGGUUAUCAAUCCAUUUAAUCCCCUGGGCCCCAAUCGCCUGGCUUAGGUCUGGGUACAGGUUGACCCUCAAUUCUUACUUGGAUGUAGAAGAGGAGGUCAUUUUCUCUUGGCUAGUCAGACUCUUGCAGAUGAAAUAAUAAAAAGUCUUCCUAGGAAUACGAUUCUACACACAAUUGAAAUUGAGUGUAACAAACACAUUGGAAGACAUGAGCAGGAAAAUUCCACUCUUCUGGGAAAGGAACAGCACCCAGUCUCCACCAGCAGCACUCUGUCUUCCAUCAGUAGCACUCAAUCUCCACCAGCAGCACCCAGUCUCCACCAGCAGCACUCUGUCUUCCAUCAGUAGCACCCAAUCUCCACCAGCAGCACCCAGUCUCCACCAGCAGCAUCCAGUCUCCACCAGCAGCACCCAGUCUCCACCAGCAGCACCCAGUCUUCCAUCAGCAGCACCCAGUCUCCACCAGCAGCACCCAGUCUCCACCAGCAGCACUCUGUCUUCCAUCAGUAGCACUCAAUCUCCACCAGCAGCACCCAGUCUCCACCAGCAGCACCCAGUCUUCCAUCAGCAGCACCCAGUCUCCAUCAGCAGCACCCAGUCUCCAUCAGCAGCACUCAAUCUCCACCAGCAGCACCCAUUCUUCCAUCAGCAGCACCCAGUCUCCACCAGCAGCACCCAUUCUUCCAUCAGCAGCACCCAGUCUCCACCAGCAGCACCCAGUCUUCCGUCAGCAGCACCCAGUCUCCACCAGCAGCACCCAGUCUUCCGUCAGCAGCACCCAGUCUCCACCAGCAGCACCCAGUCUUCCGUCAGCAGCACCCAGUCUCCACCAGCAGCACCCAGUCUUCCGUCAGCAGCACCCAGUCUCCACCAGCAGCACCCAGUCUUCCGUCAGCAGCACCCAGUCUCCACCAGCAGCACCCAGUCUUCCGUCAGCAGCACCCAGUCUCCACCAGCAGCACCCAGUCUCCACCAGCAGCACCCAGUCUCCAUCAGCAGCACUCAGUUUUCCAUCAGCAGCACCCAGUCUCCAUCAGACCAAGAUGGACAGUGGUUGAACUGAAGAGCCACUGAAACAGAGACUUUGGUUGUUCUUCAUUAGAGUGCACAGCUCCACUUCAAUGUUUAAAUUAGUCAGAUAUUUGAAAGCAAGGUGUUUUACUGGAGAUUGGAAGUGUUUGGAGCUGGUGGACACUGCCUCCACAGAGACUGCCUGAGGACACGAGGCGGGAGAGAAGGGAGCUGGGUUGGGAGACCUUGGGAGGCAGGUCAUUUGUGUGAAGGUGUUUCAGCUGCCAGAGCUGCGAGGAGGGGGCUCUCCAGGGGUGCUGUGGGUGGAGUGAGGCUCUUCCAAGGGUCCUGGAGCAGAUGGUGAUGCUGCAGAAAGGAGGUUUGAUGAACUCGUUUCCAGCGCCCCUUCCAACCCUGAAAUUAAUAAAAACAGGUCCCCUCUGGGAGUCAGCUCCAAAUCGGAUGCGUAGGAUCGCCACCCACUUCUCGUCCCUGGGCAAUGACCAGAGAACAAGGCCCCUCAUCAGCAUCUCCUCAACGGGCAUGGCAGUUAAUAAAUAACGGUCAGGUCUCUCACCCUCCAAUUCGUCAAAAACUCUGCGAACAGUUAAUUUUAUUAAUUCUUUUUGUCCUGUAUAACCUCUUAUGAGUGUUGUGUGCCAAAGAGGGAACACAGCGAGAACCGGGUUUAUAGGUCGUUUUUGGAGUCUUUGUAGCCACAAGCAUUUGAGGUUCUUGAGGACAGAGGAAGGUGUGCGUUUGUCUUUAUGUCUCCACCUCCUGACAGGGGCCCGUAGUCGGUGGUUAUUAGUCAAAAUUCCUUAAAUCCUGACCAGAGCGAUUCUUUCCAUGAGCCCAGGUCCGGGAGUUCACAGCCUCAGGCUCGGUGUCCGUACUCGGCAGGACUCAGUUCUGUCCGUAUGUAAUCAGAGCCUGAUUUUAUUUGUCCUAAAACAACUCCAUUUGGGUUUCAAAGAACGCCUCUGUGUUCCAGAGUCUCAUUAGUCUUGGUCACUUAGUUGGCUUGAACACAUUCCCUCUCGUUCUUUAUCUGCCGAGCAACUGCAAGACCCUCAGAUAGGGAGUGGACUCUUUUCAAUCUAAUUCAGUCCAAAUUAACAGUUGGGCACGUUUUAGUCACUAUUGCUGUGUGAUAAAUUAGUCCAAAACUUAGUGGCUUAAAAGAAAAAGCUUGCUGGGUCUCCCAGUUUCUGUGGGUCAGGAAGCCGGGCACGACUCAGCUGGUCCUCUCUGGGGGGGUCUCUGUGGGUCACAGUCGGGUGUCAGCAGGCUGCAGUCGUCCCAGGCAAGGCUGAGGGGCCACCCUCGUCCCGGCUCCCUCACGUGACUAGGGGCAGGCCUCCUGUCCGGCGGAGGCUGCCCGAGCUCCCAUGCUGUGUGAGCCUCUCCAUGGCUGCUCACAAGAUGGUUCCCUGGUGCCAGGGCUCUGAUAGCCACAGGGAGCUGGUGACCAAAAUCAUCAACUUUUGUGACCUAACCUCAGAAGUGACAUCCAACCACUUUUUGCUCUGUCGUAGUUAUGAUAAAAGAGUCGAUAGGUCCCGCCCGCAGGCAGGGCCAGGGGACCACGCAGGACGUGACGCCAGGACAUGGUAGAGGAGUCUCAGAGACUGCCCACCAGGAACCCUGCUAGCCAUGGGAGUCGCAAAGAUGAGUAAGAUGCCGUUCCCGGCCUCAGGGAUGUUAUCAUUUAGUACGAGAAGCAGAUAUAUAAACAGACUCACUUUGGCAUAGUAUUUAAGCCAAAUAAUUUUAAAAGGUAUAAUGGUAGCUCAGAGUGAGAUGAUUCAACUCUCUUGACAAAGGGUGGGGAGAGGGAAGGCAAGGAAGGCUUCCUGGAGGAGGUGAAGGAACUGGUAUUUAAAGAACAAAUAUCACUCCCCAACCCUAGACAGAGUUUACCGGGACCAAGUUGUGUUGAGAACUGGCUCAGCUGGCAGCCCCAGAGUUCACAGUGCUCCUUUCCCUCUGGGAAAUGUCUGCAUUUCUCAUCUAAAUGCCCCCAAGAAAUGGUUGAGAAUGAGUACAGCAGAGCACCAUGCUCUCCUCCAGUGGCAAUAUUAAUAUUAAAAGUACAUAACAGCAGCGUUUCAACAUUGGGACCCAGUCAGCCUGCAUUAUACUCUUGCCGAAAUAGCCUUGUAAACAUCAAAUUUCGAGAAAGUGAAGGAAAUUAUGUUAAUCAUAUUCCUAAGAGCACUCGAGCAUGAGGGCUGUUUAUUGAAAAUAUUGACAGGAAGAAAACAGCCUGUUGGAGUGAGCAUCCCUUCGGGCUUCCCCGGGAGUCACUGGGGGAAUUUGAAAGGUCCCCGCUUGAUGCUGGGCAGGCUGAUGGAGGAAGGGGGGCCGGCAGCUUGGUGCGGGGUCAGGACAUGAAGGGCCUGCAGUGAGAUCUCCAUCUUCAGACCUGGAGGGAUCCCCUACCCUCCCAGGGCCGGUCGGGGCCUCAGGGCUGGUGGCCGUCUCCCUGCCCGGCACGUGGGUGAGCAGCGGCACGGCCAAGAAGGAAGGGGCUGCCCAGACGCCCUCAGGUGGGCCUUCCUGGCAGCAGGUGUCCAGGGCUCACCUGCACCUGUGGGGAGGCCACCCGAUUGGAGCCCUGGGUCCCCUGGGCUUCCGCCUCGCCCCAGCCUUCCACUGCAGUGUUCACCAGCAGGCAUCCUCUUGGACCCCGCUCCCUGGGUGCCAGGAUGGCAUCAUCUUAUCUCUGGUUUUCUGAGUCUAGGAUGGUGCAUGGUUCAGAGUGCUUACCCGUCACAAUUCACUGAAAAUAGCAUCUAAUUGGGCAAGUCAUCGGUAGGCCAUCUCAACUCUAUAAGAGGGAGAAGAAAGAGAACAUUCCAGAAUACAGAGCUACACUUCUGUCCCUCCAUCUGUUGACAGAGUUGCUGCUGUUGGAGGUGAGUGUACAGCUCUGAGGACAGACUCCGAUCAGCUGCCUGCGCUGGCCUGGGCUUUGUGAUCCUGGACUCACAUCCCUGAUCUGCGGGGAUGGAGACGACGAAGCCACAUGCCACAGCAUGUGGAAGGGAUUUAUUGUGCUCUUCAUGCCCAGGCUCGAUGAGCGCCUGCACGAGGAGGGUCAGGGAUGGGGAGCCGUCAUUACUACCUUGCUGCAGCACCCGGUACAUAAUUUAACCCUGUCCUGGUUUCAAUGAGUCUUAAGAAAAGCCGACUUGAACUGAAUUAAGCAUAGGUGGGGUCCAGGAGCAGCAGGUGGGACCAGACCCAGGAAAGUAACAGGAAGGUGCCCGGACAGAUGGCCUCCCAGCCGCGUCGUCUCUCAUCUCUUGCUGCUUCCUUCUGUCUGUCUGUCUGUCUCUCCCUGCGGACUGGCCACUUCCGACGUUCUGCGGGUGCGGCUGAAGAAGGCUGCCCCAUGGCUCGGCAGUCACCAGGCCCCAUAAAAGGACCUAGAGAGAGAAUCUGAAGUGGCCCCACUUGGCCAGACUUGCCCUUCCUGGUCCAAACAGCAGGGCUGGGGCCACGGGUCAUUGGCACAGAAGUGUCUCUGAGACUCGUCUCUCUGGACGAGGAAGAGCAGCUCUCAGAAAGGGGCACCGCUACGCCCAGAAGACGUGGGCUACACACUCGAACGUGACCCUGUUCAUUAUGAUUUAUCAGGACGCCUUCGCUCCCCUUUGAGUUAGGGAAACAGACUCAGAAAGGCCUGCUGUUAUUUUGGGGUUUGGGGGUUAUAUGUAAUUUGUGUUUUCUUCUUCAUGCUUUUUAUUCUGUUUUCUAAAAUUUUUGCCAUGAGCAAAUAUGGCUUUUAUAAAAAUAAAACUUUAUCAAGGUGCUUAGCUUCCCUCAGUCACAGCUCCUCUGGGAGUUCUUGGAGGUGACAGAUACUGCGGGCCACCCACUCAGUGCUGGUGACUUUGGGAGGGCUGAUUGGGGUGGUGAUGAUGGAGGUGGGCGAGUGGCCCCCGGUUGGGGGAAUGAGUGUCUAUCAGCACAGUCUGGCUCUAUCUUGGUUGCAGCAUUCAGCUGAGGCCUUUCUAUGGGUAAAUCAUUAUGACUUGUUUAAAAAUACCCUAUUCGAACCCAUAAAAUGCCCGAUAUUUACAUUCGGUUAAAAAUAGCUUCUUUAUUAAAAAGGAACUUAAAAAAAUUCCCUGAAAGUUUUUAAGAAAUCUAUAAAGGGAAGACACUUGCAGAAGUGGUUAAUUAUAUACUUCUGUAAAGCUGUUGGGGCGUGUUUAUUAUUUUGUUUUUGGAAUUAGAUGUGAAAUUCGUGAAUGAGAACAAUGGCAGCUGACAAAAGCAUCAGGAAGGAAGUCAGCACAAAUUGAGGGCUAACAACCUGUAAAGAAGAAGAUCGUGCAGAAGGACAGGCUGGUCCUGGGCUGGGUCUGGGUGAGCCCCUCCUUGGAGGGAAGCGAAGGGGAUAUAACCUGAUCGUGGACACAGUUAUGGUGUCGAGGUUCCAGUGCCCACUGACCCAUGUAGGAACUCUGCUCCCUGCACAAUUUCCCCAGAAUAUUUUAUUUUCUUUGAUGUUCCCAGAGGUGUCUCACCUGAAAUAACAGGCCUAGGGACCUGCACUGGUAGCUGCUUCCUUCUUCCACUCUCCACUGCGUCAGGCACCCCUGCCUUCAGGAAGUGCCCCUCCACCAACUCUACUAGGCUUGAAGGGGUGGCUCCUUUUGUGGCCACCUCUGCCACUCCACCUGGAUGUCACUGGACUAGCCUGGCACUACGUCUCUGCGAGGCACCUGCCUGCUUGUCCUGGCGUCUCUGCUGUGCUGGCUGGUGCCCCUGGCGUGCACAAGCUCUUAGGCUGCGAGAACCAAGGAUGCUUGGUGAUAAACUGCAGGAGGCGGGCAUUCCUCUCCUCGAUCUCACAGAGAUGGAGAGGGCUGGCUUUCUGUUUUUAAUUCUAUUUUCUCUCCCCAUCCUAGGACUCGUGUUUUGGCCUGUGAGACUCUGUUCCUGGAGAUAAACAGCAAUGUCAUGUAACUCAUCCACUUGAACUCCGUCUUCUCCCAGCCUGAGCUCUCUCCCCGGAGGUGGCUCAGCUCCUCACGCAGUGGAGUUGGGCAGGCCCCCUUGCCUUUGCUCAGCGUGCCCAGAGACGUGUGAUCCCAGGGCCAGUGUGGCUUCCACUCCCCCUGCCUCGUCCCAUGUCUCUGGGCUCUGCUGGGGGCUGCCCCCGACUCCACUCCAAGUGUGGGCCUCCACGCUCUGUGAGCCAUGCAUGUGUCUAAACCCAAGACCUGUCUAGUGCUUCCUGAGCACCUGCUGCCCACGGGUGCUGUUUCUGUCACUUUUAUAUUGGCUGCCUCAACCAUAUUCUCACAAUGGGGCCCAUAUUUUUGUUAUUGGGGAAAUAAGAUUCAGAGUGAUUAAGUUAUCAAGUUUGUAGACUGAGUAGUGUGGUCCCUGCAGUGUGGACAGAGACUCAGGAUCCCCGUCAGCACGGUCAGCUCAGAUCCCCAAGCCCUUUCUCCCCAGCGCCAGCCCAUCCCAGGAAAGGCACCACCAGCCACCCGAGUCCUCCAACCAGAGGCUUCACUCUUUCCCUCGCCCCCUCACCGGGGCCACCUGCAGGUCCCAUUGGCUCCACCUCCUAAGGAUGCUCCAUCCUCCUGAGUCUCCUGCUCUCCCGCCUCCACCUAAAACGAGUUAGGAUCCGCCCACGCUCCACGGCUGUCUAGUCUGUGAAGUAACUUUUCCAUUUCUGCUCAUUGGAGCAAUCCUUCAAUAACGUAAGUGAGAUUGUGUUACUUCUCUGCCUCAACUUCUCCAUGACUCUCCCCAUUGCGCCCACGAUGAAACCUGAGCCCUGAUGCCUGCUUCUUCUGGCUCUUCCCAGCUUGACUCUUGUCUCACCCCACUCUCCUCGCAGCUCCUGGGCUGAGCUGCUGGGGACUCCUUUCUGUGUCCCAAAUACCCCAAGCUUUCUCCCAAUUCCCGGCUUUUUCCUCUGUUGCUCCUUCCUGGAAUUUUCUUCUUCCAGCUUGUCACGUGGCUGUAUAAUUAUCUGUUUGCCUUGAGCAAAUGUCCCUCCCAGAGGCCUUCCCUGACCACACCACUCUCAGUCGUCUCCCGUCUGCCCUCCCCCUCCCCCUGGCUGGGAUAUUAGAAGCUUCUUGCUUGCAAAUUACAAAACCACAGCCCGAAAUGGCUUAAGGAAAAUGGGAAUUCACUGCUCCUGUAAUGGGGGAGUCAGAGAAGGACUCUUCAGACACUCCCUUCUCCAUCUCUCAGCUGGUCCCUCGGCCCUGGCCUGAUCUCCUCCUGUUUCAGGGGUCAUUCUCCAUGUGCUCAGGACCCAGGGCAGUCAGUAGCUUCAGGUUUACGUUGCCCCUCUUUAGCUACUGGUAUAAACAGCGACUCUUUUCCUGGUCUCCUAAGGAAAGGUCCCAGGUAGGAACUGCAUUGACCUGGCUGCAGCCUGGGUUAUCCUGGAACUGAGUUCCAUGGAUGAAAUGACGCUGAGCUCUGACUGGUCAGCACAGGUCAUUUGCUCACCCCCAGAGCUCAGUGCGGGCAGCUCUGCCCCCUCAUCCGCAGGGACUAAGAACGCAAGAGGGAUGGGUCUCCAAAGGGAAAAUGACGAGACUGGUGGAUUGAUGCUGGGCGUGAGAAACUGGGUACUCACAGCGUCGGUCUCUAUGUCAGUACCCUGUUUAUCUUCGCAUGAGGCAAAAUAGUCUGCCAUUUUCCCUUAUUUGUUUUAUUUGUUAGUAUCUCCCACUGGAACAUAAGCUCAAUAAAACAGGGGUCUUGAUUUUAUUUUUGAAAGCCCUGUGGGAUGUGGUUGACAACAAACGCCUGUUGAGUGAAUGAAUAAUGGAAGAAAUGCAGAAUUUGAACUAGGACUCAAACCCAAGUUCUUCGACCCCAGAUUUGCUCCUCUUCCUCUCUCAUCUCACUUCUCUGUUCUUAAACUCACCAACUCAUAUGCUCCCUCUGGGUUUGCAGUUACCAUAAAGGUGCCCGUGUGUCCUGGCGUCAAUGAACAUGGCCUGCCGUUGGUCUGUGGGUCACCAAGAGAAGAGCUGAUGGAGGGUUGGUUCUCUCCAUCCUCUCCACGUAGAACAGUGGUGAACGCAGAAGUCGCUAGUCUGGGUUUGAAUGAUUAAGUGGAUGAAUUCGAUCCAGGAGCUUUCGUCUCGUCAUUUUCCGUAGUGAUACCACAAAGCGUCGUAGAGCCCCUAACUUUGUUUACUCAGUCUCCACUUCACCACCGGCAAAACACUAAUAUUGAUUUACCUGUCUCAUAAGGCUGUUGGAAUAUUCAUUAAGCUCUUCUCUGCAUCAUGAAAAUAUUCUUUUCCACCUGUGAUUAGAUUACGGGAAGACUCUGUCUCCCGAUUUGGCUGAACAACGCUGGCAGAGAUUUCUGGCUGUUUGUCAAAGGUCGUGUUUCUUCAUCUUGGACGCACAACUGGACGACUCCCCAGCCUCUCUUGCAAUGAGGUGCGGCAUUGUGACUUAAUGUCAGUGCCUGGAUGUGAGCACAGGUGCAGGGGCCGCUGCUGGGCCUGGCCCAAGGAGAGCUCCAUGCAUGUCCCCCAAGCAUGUCCCCCAUCCUCCCCCUGACGUGGAGAUAGGUCUCAAGCAACGUGGGGGCCCCUUAUUGGAGAUGGAGUCUGCUCAGCCUGAGCCCCCGAAUGACCGUGUCCUGCUGGCCUCUUGGCUCUCCAAGUCCUGUUACACGGUGAGGAGUGAGCGUCCGCUGUGGGAGAGCCAUUGCACUUCUGCUGGUUUGUUUGUUGUGUUGAGUAGUUCCUGACUUCGCUCCCUGAUGCCCAGUGAUCUGAUGAGGAGACUCCAGUGAAAUCUCAGUCUUCUGAUUUGUUUUUUUGGGUUUUUUUUUGAGGAAGAUUGGCCCUGAGCUAACAUCUGUUGCCAAUUUUCCUCUUUUUGUUUGAGGAAGAUUGUUCCUGAGCUAGCAUCUGUGCCAAUCUUCCUCCACCUUAUAUAUGGGACACCGCCACAGAGUGGCCUGAAGAGCGAUGUGUAGAUCCACGCCUGGGAUCCGAACCUGCAAAACCCAGGCCACCGAAGCGGAGUGUGUGAACUUAGCCACUAUGCCACCAGGCCAGCCCCUCAAUCUUCUGAUUUUUGUUAAAGAGAAAUGAUAAAAAGUAGUGCCUAGAGGCUAAUUGAAUGAACAGAAAUAUGGAAAUAAAUAUCAUGGCUAUUUCCAGAUGUCAACUAGAGUGAGAUGAUACAUACAUACAACAUCUAUUCAUUUACUUGUACAAUAUGGAUCUAUAUUGUCAUGUAUAUAUAAAUAUAUAAGAUUAUAUAACAUUCCAACUUAAUUUCAGAGGCUGGAAUCUAAGAAGACCCCAUUAUCAAGCAACAUUGUACUUCAAAAACUAGCACCUUAUCUUUGAAGCUGGGCUCAGCAUUUUCCAACACAAUUAAUUGCAAUAACAGCAUAAAAGAUGAUAAAAACUAAAAUAUUCUUAGAAAAAGUGGUGUUAUGUGAUAAUUAAACAAACUAAUUAAGAACGUUUAGGGCCUCAAUUUUUGAUUCCUGCUCCCAAAGAUUGAAAGAGAGGGCGAGUGGCAUCUGAGGGGCCUGAAGUGCUGUUUAGGUCACGUGUGGCGACAGCUGGGAUCCCCUCCUCCACUGUCCACAACUUCAUCCUGUCUGGGGUCCUGUCCUCUGGGACGGCGUUGGCGCAGCCUUGGGUCUCCUUAAGCCCUCCUUGGCAGGGAGGACCUGAAAGAGAUGACACGUUCUUUGUGACAAGCUCAGGGCUGCAUUUGGGCAUCCCGAAGUAUUCAGCGAAUGGAAACUGGAGGUGUGAUAGAUUGAGAACAGGCUCCCUGGAGAAACAGGACCAGUAAAGCACACGUAUAAGGAGUUGGCUCACCCAGUUACAGAGGCUGGCAGGGCCACUCUGCAAGGUGGGCCAGCAGCCUGAAGACCACGGGAGAGCCAAGGUUGCGAUAAAGUCCGAAGGUGUCUGCUGGAGAACUCUCUCUUACUUGGGGGAGGGUUGGUUGGUCUUUUUCUUCAAUUCAGGGUUUUAACAAAUUGGCUGAGGCCCGCCCACAUUGGGGAGAACAAUCUGAUUUACUCAGUCUUUCGAUUUAAAUAUUAGUCUCGAUUUAAAUGUUAAUCCAAAAAUACCCUUGUAGAAACACCCAGAAUAAUGUUUGUCCAAAUAUCUGAACACCCUUUGCUCAGUCAAGCUGGCACAUAAAAUUAACUCUCUCAAGGGAACAGUAAACUUUUUCAAUAAAGGAUCAGAUAGUAAAUAUUCUAGGUUUGAGGACA